Molecule: non-coding RNA, 647 nt
Organism: Tinamus guttatus (white-throated tinamou)
Lineage: Eukaryota; Metazoa; Chordata; Aves; Tinamiformes; Tinamidae
Source: the annotation of a RefSeq genome assembly
AUCCUGAGCCACGAGGGCGAGGACGAGGUCCUGCUCGCCUGCCUGGUGGAGAACUUCUUCGCCGAGGCCCAGGUGGAAUGGCUGCAGAACGGGGAGCCGCUGGAGGCGCCGCGGGAGGACUACGUGUGCGCCGAGUGCUCCGACAACCAUGACGCCACGGUGAUCGUGGAGAUCUUCCCGCCCACCCUGGAGGAGCUCUUCGUGACGCAGAACGCCAGCGUGACCUGCGUGGCCACCAACGUGCGGGCGCCGGGCGACGUCACCUUCUCGUGGAAGCGCAAGGGCGGCAGCGGCGGCUCCUUGGACGCGGCCACCGGGGAGGCCGCGCCCAGGACACCGGGCUCUACCGCGUCGCCAGGCUCCUCAAGGUCUGCGCCGAGGAGUGGAACUCGGGGGAGACCUUCACGUGCACCGUGUCCGGCCCCGAGCUGCUCGAGCCCAUCAGCAAGAGCAUCGAGAAGAGCACGGCCCAGCGGGAGCUCAUUGGACCCCCCGGUUCUGUCCCCCCAGACUGGGUCGUGGUCACGUUCGGCGAGGACGCGACGGCCGAGAGCCCCGAGGACCCCGGCGACCUGUGGACGGCCGUGACCUUCAUCUUCCUCUUCCUCCUCAGCCUCUGCUACAGCACCGGGGUCACCCUGUUCAAG